CUCGGAGUGGCGAAAUUGGCAGAACGCGACGGACUUAAAAUCCGUUGGUAGCGAUACCGUACGGGUUCGACCCCCGUCUCCGAGACCA
RNAcentral lists this transfer RNA (88 nucleotides) under Segatella copri. Its description in RNAcentral is "tRNA-Leu". It matches the Rfam family "tRNA". Rfam says of the family: Transfer RNA (tRNA) molecules are approximately 80 nucleotides in length. Their secondary structure includes four short double-helical elements and three loops (D, anti-codon, and T loops). Further hydrogen bonds mediate the characteristic L-shaped molecular structure. tRNAs have two regions of fundamental functional importance: the anti-codon, which is responsible for specific mRNA codon recognition, and the 3' end, to which the tRNAs corresponding amino acid is attached (by aminoacyl-tRNA synthetases). tRNAs cope with the degeneracy of the genetic code in two manners: having more than one tRNA (with a specific anti-codon) for a particular amino acid; and 'wobble' base-pairing, i.e. permitting non-standard base-pairing at the 3rd anti-codon position. Lineage: Bacteria; Pseudomonadati; Bacteroidota; Bacteroidia; Bacteroidales; Prevotellaceae. The record is from RNAcentral.